AAAAUUUAAAUUUCGAAUUAUAGAUAAAUUUAAUUAUAAAAAAUUAUAACUCUAUAAAAUAGAUAUGACUUUAUUACUUAUACAGCAGGUAGGCUUAUAUUUUAGUUAAACUAAAAACUUUUAUUGUAAAGUUGAUUAUAAAUAUAUGAUAUUAUUUUAUUUGAUUUUAAAUGUAUAGUAAACUGCGAGUUGUAUAUGUUUUGUUGAUAUUAUUUAUAUUGUUUAGUGUUUAAAAUUAUAUACUUGUAUUUUGAUUGUUAAUUUUAUAGUUUCACCUGUAGUAUACCAUCUUGUAUUAAUAUUGAUUUAAACCCGUCAAUUCUAGGAUUUUUCACCUUGUAUUAAAAAUUGAAUCACAUCAUACACAUUAAAAAAUCUAAUAUGAUAAUUCAAAUUGUGGCAUAUGCGAAAAAACUCUAAUUAUUUUUUUAUAACGAUGAUAUUAUUUUUUCGCAAAAAUAGAAUCAUAUAAAGAUGAGAGGUGAACUAUAAUAAUUAAUAAAAAAUUAAUAUGAUAAUUUAGAUACCAAAUCUAAUUUGUUGAUUUUAAUUGGUUACUUUUUUGGAAAUUAAUAAUGUAUUUCGUUUUUGAGUUAAAUUUAAUU
This 605-nucleotide small RNA is filed under the name Arabidopsis thaliana (thale cress). RNAcentral's name for it is "ATSL245610". Lineage: Eukaryota; Viridiplantae; Streptophyta; Magnoliopsida; Brassicales; Brassicaceae. The record is from RNAcentral.